Molecule: ribosomal RNA, 431 nt
Filed under: uncultured bacterium
Lineage: Bacteria
Description: bacterial SSU rRNA
Rfam family: Bacterial small subunit ribosomal RNA
Source: RNAcentral
AACGAACGCUGGCGGCAGGCCUAACACAUGCAAGUCGAGCGCACCUUCGGGUGAGCGGCGGACGGGUUAGUAACGCGUGGGAAUAUACCCAAAGGUAAGGAAUAGCCUCUGGAAACGGAGAGUAAUACCUUAUGUGCCCUACGGGGGAAAGAUUUAUCGCCUUUGGAUUAGCCCGCGUUAGAUUAGGUAGUUGGUGGGGUAAUGGCCUACCAAGCCUACGAUCUAUAGCUGGUUUGAGAGGAUGAUCAGCAACACUGGGACUGAGACACGGCCCAGACUCCUACGGGAGGCAGCAGUGGGGAAUCUUGGACAAUGGGGGAAACCCUGAUCCAGCCAUGCCGCGUGAGUGACGAAGGCCCUAGGGUCGUAAAGCUCUUUCGCCAGGGAAGAUAAUGACGGUACCUGGUAAAGAAACCCCGGCUAACUCCGUG